Malurus melanocephalus (red-backed fairy wren) is the source of this 6672-nucleotide RNA transcript. It is a transcript of the gene named TAFA chemokine like family member 2, with no coding region annotated. NCBI's taxonomy places the organism in Eukaryota, Metazoa, Chordata, Aves, Passeriformes, Maluridae. The record is from RefSeq and is a predicted model, not a curated record. The transcript has 6 exons.
AUCUCCUCCCUCCCCCCCGCCGCGGAGGGCGCGCUUGGAACUGCCUCUGUGUGUCCGGGCGCCUGGGGCGUCUCCGCGCCCUUCCGCGGUGCGGUGCGGUGCUCGCAGGCUGGGCGCGGGGGGCUGCUGCUGCUGAAGGGAAGCUUUCGCUCUCCAAUUACUUUUCCCAAGAGGGAGAAGGAGGCAGCAGGAGGGGGAAGUCGUGCUGUGUGUGGAAGGCACACCAAUCAGAGAUGCUCUAACGGAGGGUCUGCUGCAGGACGCGCCGGCUUCUUCUCCUCCUUCCUCUGCCGGCGGGGCUGAAUCGGGACCACGCGCAGCUGGUAUAGGGGCCGGAGCCGCACCGGGCUGCAGGACUUCCCCAUCUCCGCUUUUCCAGUAGCUCAACCAUACUUGGUCUUAUUUUAAUUUUUUUUAAAUACUCUGAAAUCGCGCACGAGAAACACUUCAAGUCUUCCCUCCAUUCCCAGUUCCUUCAUCCUUCCUCUAGCAUCUCUUAGCCGGAUUCCUGGUAUAUUCCCAGAGAGGCGGUGGAACAGCGCCGGGCAGCGCGGACGGCUGCUGCCCCAGACCGGCCGAGCCGAGGGGAGCCGAGCAGAGCGCGGCACGACGCCGCUCCAUGCCCCCGAGCGCUGGCGGGGCGCGGGGCGUGUGCCGGCGAUGCCCGGGCGGUAAGGCUGGAACUCCCCCCGGACGGGAGGCGGCCGAUCGCUAGGCAUUUCUAGCAAGAAUCGGGACUGCAGGAUGAAUAAGAAAUACUUACAGAAAGCAACUAAAGGAAAACUGCUAAUAAUAAUAUUUGUUGUAACGCUGUGGGGAAAAUUAGCAUCUGGGGCAAAUCAUCAUAAAGCUCACCAUGUUAAAACUGGGACCUGUGAAGUGGUGGCGCUUCACAGAUGUUGCAACAAGAACAAGAUAGAAGAGCGAUCACAGACGGUGAAGUGUUCCUGCUUCCCUGGGCAGGUAGCAGGUACCACCCGGGCAGCUCCUUCUUGCGUUGAYGCUUCAAUAGUGGAGCAGAAAUGGUGGUGCCACAUGCAGCCAUGUCUUGAAGGGGAGGAAUGUAAAGUUCUUCCAGAUCGUAAAGGAUGGAGCUGUUCCUCUGGGAAUAAAGUGAAAACAACUAGGGCAAACGUGUAAAACUCCUCAAGUCCGAAUGGAGAAGUAGAGAAAGGAGGUUUCUGCUGUGCCUGAUGACAAUUUUUGUUUUUUCCACACAAAAAAAUAUUCUGGCUCCACGUUGGAGCACUAGUUGUGAUGAAUCCUAGUCUUGGUUGGAUUCUAAGGAAGGGCCGGAACGUUCGUUGAGGAAUAAAGAGUCAAACCACUCCAGAAAAUGUGUUCCAGCCCUGGUUUAUUACUCACAGAGCAGCAGGUAACCCGAUAGCUGAAGACAAAUCAAGCCAGUCUCAAGGCUGAUAAUAAAUACAACACAUAAGAAUUUCAUCCCUCCAGGCAAUCCUUGAAGUGAAAUUUUGUACUGCUGGGGUGUAUCCUUCAGCAGAAUCAAUUGUUUCAAUGAGAACCUGGCUUGUAAUCAGCAACAGACUUGAAAUCAAAACUACUGGAAAGUUAUUUUGAACUUCUGUGUCACAAAUAUUUCAACUGAUUGAACUGUGUACACUUGUAAAAUUGCACUUGUUGAGGAAUUUGCAGCUGUAAUCAAGAGCUGAUAUUCUAAAGGUGCAGAAGAGCAGCAAACUUUUGGGUUCUCCGUUGCAGAUCAGAGGCUUUUCUUCUUGAUGAAGUCAACUUCUGAAAUGUAUUGGAUCCUUCACUCAAAAAYGAUCCCUGGUCCACAGUUCAGAUUGCUGGUGGAACUGCACAAUGCUUUAAUUAAAUUUCUGUUGCAGAAAUUGUCCUUUGGCAUGGCGCAGUUUUAGACAUUUUUAUUUGUGUUCUAAUCUUGCAGCUCUCAAAGGUACAUAUUUCAACAUCUUGAAGUUGCUUUGUUAUAGGAAUGGAAUUAUAUAUCCAUUGUUAAUAAUUAUUGUUGACAAGUAAUAGUUAUCUGAAUACAUCAGUCAUAUUAGAAUGUAUAGUCAGGUUGACAUGUUUCCCUAAGGCUAACCAACUACUGCGGCUUAACAGUUAAAGAAAGUAGUGGUCAAAACUCAAUUACCACUUCCAUUAUAAGGCAUUUUAUAUCUUUAAGAUACACAUUUCCAUUUAGUUUGAAGGAAAUGGGUGUUCCCAGUAUGUACUUUACUUUCCUAACCUUUAAUUCGUUUAAAUUCAUGGUAAGCAGUCAAUUACAGUAUUUCAUCCCUUUUUUAUAAACAUAGGCAGGGAUGUAAAUGAGAUUUGCAAUUAUGUUAUUGGAUGGUAAUCAUUCAGAUUUUUUGUCUUUUUAUUGAAAAAUAAAAUCUCUUGCCUGUACCUAAGUACUGAUGGAUGCUUAUGUAGAUGUCUGCUCAGUUUGUUUGCUAUAAAGGAAAAAAGUCCUAGUGCUCUCCCAGAUUUACACUUCAUGGGUAUUUUGCUUGCUUACAGUCAUCCAGUUCAGAUCUGACCCUCGCAAAAGUGUAAUUUUUUUUGGUUUUGUUUUGUUAGAAAUUCUUGAACUUUGCGAUGUGCUGUUACAUGAAAAAAAUCCUCAAUAUUUAAAGGCCUUAAGCAUCUCUGAAAUUUUUUCUAAGUUAUUACAGAAUGUAUAAUUUUAUACUSCAUUUAAUGUAUAUUGUACCAUCUGUAAUGUUGAUACAGAAGAAAUUUGGUAAUUCCUUUUACUGACACUGCAUAAACAUACUGACUAGAGGGAGUUCUGACUGUAUGCUUUGGUGAAUUGAAAUGAAAUCCACACACACUUAAUGGUAGUCAAAAAUACAUAGAGGUAAGCUUAUUUAAGUCCUGUGCAGUUACCAGACACAGCAAAUAAAAAGAAAAAAAAAAGAAAAAGAAAAAAGGAAAUAGAGGGAAAUUAUUUUAUCAUUACAAGACACUGACAUGGCUAGUUUAGUUAUAUAUUAAGUUCCAUGAUGGAUGAACACCCUGGAGUGCUCUGCCUGUCACUGUAGCCCCUGCUGUUCAAAAACCAUUUCAUUACCUCUGCUGUAUUAUUGCAAAGGAGAGCUUAAAUAAAAUAAAUGACUGCUGGGAAUAAAACUGAAAAGUAUAUUCUAUCAUUCUGCUGGAAAAUAAAAAAAAAUAUAUAUUGGCAGAAAAAGAUCUUAUUUUCUGAUUAAAAUUUAAUUAGAAUAAACCAUUUGUAGCAGAAACUAGGUAUCUUGGUAUUUUAGGAUGGAUUAGUAUUAUAUGGGUUUGUGCUAACACAUUCAGGACAGAAGGUAGUAUCUUAAAGAGGUUGUCUGGGACAGUGCAAAGUGUAAACGUGCUGUUUUGUAAAAUCUGAAUAUGGCCUCUCUUUGGUCGAAAAUCUAUCAUGCUUCUCAAGACUUGUUUCCUUUGUUUCCUUGUUCUUAAAAAGCGCUGAAAAUACUGUAUUAUAAACAAGUGUAACACAUGCAUACCAAUAAAUGAAAAUAAGUGGAUUUUCAAAUAUACUGAGUAGAUUAUCUGCAGUAGAUUAAUGUUGUGACUAUUCAUAGCAAGUGAAUAAAAUUGUAAUAUAAAAUAGAGUUCCCUGUAUGGAUGUGCACUUUGGAGAUCUAUUCUGUUUAUAUAUGGAACAAAAUAAUYUUUUAGUGAAUAAGAAUCUCAAAGGUUAUGUUAACUAUAUAUUUCUUCAAUAGACCCAAGAAUAUCUCCUACCACUUUGAAAGGUUCUUUUUGAAAAGAACUGAUACCUAUGGCAAAUUCUAUUGGGUGUACUGAUGUUUUCAGGUCAGACUUAAUAAAUUUUCUUUUUCUUCACAAAAUAUGAAUCCUGAAAAAUUAUCGCUUAGAUAUUUUAAGUAGCAGCAAGACAUGGUAGACAAUCCUGGUAAAGUAAUGUUUCAGGUUAAUUUGUGGAACUGUUUAAAAGAAAAAGGGAAUAAAGCAAGUUUACCAGAUCUGGCUGUGCACUCUGAAGCAAGCUGGGAACCACAGUUCAGGUUUCCACUGUGCCAGUUUAGUGCUCCUUUGARAAUGGAAUACAGCUGACUGGAUCAGCUAUGUGCAUUCAUCUUGUAGGCUUGUGAAUUGCUUAAUAACUGAUUCCUUAUACACUACUUCCUGGAUUAUUUAAUCUAAUUACAAAAAUAUUCAGGCAUGAUCAGAGGGAAAUCCAUGUUGCCCUUUGGAUUCAGUAAUCAUCAAGAACUCUGAACUGCAGAAUAUGCAUUCCAAUUCUGCAGUUCCAAAUGAUAGUGCAUUGAUAAGGAAAGAAAAAUCACUGCUUUGUUCAURCCUUUCACAAUUAAAUGGAUUGGAUCAAUUCAAAAAAGCACAAAAGAAAAUCCUUAUGUGAAUUUAAUGAAAAAAAUAUCCAUAUCAGAACAAAUAAAUCURAAAUACAGCUUAUAAAACAAGUCUAGAUCUUGGUUGUAUCUGGUAUAUUGGUCAUAAUGAAUGUUAACUUUUAAAACAGCACUGUUGCAGAUACCACUGUUACUACCUAUAAAUUCACCUACCGUGCUAUACAUUUUCAGUUUUUUUACUUAUCCUGUAUCUUUUAAAUCUUGGCUCCUCUGCUCUCCUAACAGCUUAAAAACAUUACUGGUGUAGCAUUAGAUUACUUCACCAAACCAGUGCAGCUCUGUUUAGGAUCUAUAUGUUUUCACAGCACAUCAGAUACAUUUAUUUUGAAAGUAAAAAAUCUGAUAUAUAUCUCUUUACUUUGUUAGGUUUCAUAAAAAUAUAUUCGGGGAAUUUUUUUGCUUGUUAUAAUUGUACAGCUGGCUCUUAUAAUUUCCAGGUAAUGCAUGAAAGUCUGUAACAACGUAACAGAAAUAUGCAAUUGGCAUCCUUUUCUGUUGAUUUACUGCCUCCUCCUUCAUGCCUCAAAUUUUACACAUCUGUUGUUAACCAAGAUAUUGGCAAGGAAAAUGAGCACAGUUUUGAUUUGCAACAAACGUUUUGAUAGGGCAACAGAGAAGUGUUGCCCUAAUCUCCAGUUUCUUUUUGCCAAAAGUUAGAUAGCUCUGCAUCAGACCUAUUGCACCUGAACAAUCUGAUGCCAUUAAACAAUUUCCCAUGGAUUCAGUGGUAUUAAAUUGAAUAAUAAGAACUACUCAAUCACUUUGUUUGUCUUUAUAACACAGUUUGUACCCUGAUAAACUUUUCCAUUUGUUCUUUCAUACAAUGAGCAAAUAUUUCCAGAUUAAAUCUUUGAUCUUGUUUCUGUUAGAGGUUAUGUAACUUUGGACACUACUUUGCAGACGGUCAUUACAAAUAUUUUAGCAAAACUAUGGGUAUUGUAUUUGUAUCUGCUGUAUUCAUCUGUACUGCUUAUGUGGUAAUUAGGAGAAAUAGUGUAUGAAAAGGUUGAAUUUCCCAAAACUUAAUUUUGACAGGUGAGAUAACAAGUGUUGCCAAUGUCUCUUUAUUUGAAACUAACUUAAUACCAUCUGGCAGGAGGGCCAUUGAUGGUGACAUUGGAGACUCUUGUGUGAGGGAGUGGCAGUUCUUUAUCAGACUGCGGUGAAGAGAAUACCAGGAGAGUCAAACCACUGUAGUGUGGUUUCAUCACCGUGUCAGUUUUGGGGAAGAGGAUCCAKCUUGUGAGCACUGGGGUGCAGUCAUCGAUGAUCCUGAGCCUGAGGCUCUGGGGGUGACAGCAGUACCCCCCUGUUCUUGGGGUGGUGGAAAGGUCUGUCUUGUGUCUCUGGGAUUUGCUCCAAAGCCAGAUGACAAAAAUGGCAAGGCACAGUGGUGCUUUCAGUGUAGUUUGGAUAAGGCCUUCAAAUGCAGAAUUUUCAGCAUUUUGUUUAGAAAUUCUGAUUGAGUAAAUUCAUUAAAAUUCAUUAAAGUUCACUUGUCCCUUUGCAGGUUAAUGGUUAAACAAAUUUCUCUCUAUUUUCACUGUCUCCUUGCAAGUAGGCAGGUCAAUCUGUAUAGCAAUGGGAAGUGAAAUCCAGUUAUUCCUUGAUAAUAGAUUCUCUUGAUUAAAUAUCACUAAUUCCAUCAAUAUGGGAUUCAAAGACUUGAAAUAAAUCUGGCUUUCAGUUCUGAAAACUAUUUUAUUUCCCAAAUAAAUUAAAUAAAUAUUUUGUAUUGUAGGAAUAUUAUUGCUUAUGUGUAACCCUAACUGUAAAAGUUCUAUGUUAGCUCUUUAAAUUAUGUUUAUAUUCAUAACAGUAAUAUGUAAAAUUUGGUUUAGAUCCACUAUAACAGCAGGGACAUUCWUUUUUCUGCUAAAACAUUGAGUUAACUUAAGGACACUGUAGCUUGGGAUUUAUGGCUUUCAGUGCUUCAACUGCACAGCUGGGAAAACAAUAUGUAAAAAUACUUAUGUUAUGCACAUUGGUGAGACAUUUUUCUUGAGUAUGAGGCAUAUGUGGAGUUGCCAGUUUACUCCAUAUGAGCAUAUUGGUUGAAUCUCUUGAUCUCUUUUCUCCUUACUGUCAUAACAAACGUGACAAAAACUGUACUUGAAUUUUCCAGCCUUAUGUCUUAGUAUUUAAACCAGAACUUAAAAAUGUGCACUACUUUAGUUACUGUAUCUCCAUGCAAAGUAGGUUUUUUCAGUGAUUCCUCCUUAUGAUUAAUUACCAAUGCCUUGUCAUAUUUGAGUAAAGAGAAUAUAAUCCUUACCAUUACUGAUUCAGAGUUUGUGCAUCUUUUUGUUCU